RNAcentral lists this ribosomal RNA (253 nucleotides) under uncultured bacterium. Its description in RNAcentral is "partial 16S ribosomal RNA". It matches the Rfam family "Bacterial small subunit ribosomal RNA", at positions 524 to 776 of the family's 1533-position model. The record is from RNAcentral.
UACGUAGGGUGCAAGCGUUGUCCGGAUUUAUUGGGCGUAAAGAGCUCGUAGGCGGUCAGUCGCGUCGGAUGUGAAAACCCGGAGCUUAACUCCGGGCCUGCAUUCGAUACGGGCUGACUAGAGUGUUGUAGGGGAGACUGGAACUCCUGGUGUAGCGGUGAAAUGCGCAGAUAUCAGGAGGAACACCAAUUGCGAAGGCAGCUCGCUGGGACGUUACUGACGCUGAGACGCGAAAGCGUGGGGAGCAAGCAGG